UUACCUCCAGAGAAAGGCAGCUACUGAAUAUUCCCGAGAGCUUUGCCUUCAAUGUCCCUCCCUCACAACAAGCCACAUUCACCCCUGUUUUCCCAGGAUGUCCUCCAAGAACUGCAGUCAGGUUUGGCCCAGAUUCCUAUGGAGACCUUGCUCUGCUCUGGGACCCAGUGCACAUGAAAGUCCAUGUGUGCCUUUUAAGAAUGGGGUCUCUGUUUCCCCCAGUCCUGUGGAGCUCCUGUGCACAAGCCCCAUUGGCCUUCAAUGCCAGAUGUUCCAGGGGCUCUUUCUCCCAGUGCCGGAUCCCAGCACGUGAGGGUUUGAUGUGGGGCUCAGAGCUCUCACUCCUGUAGGUGAGUCUCUCUCUGUGAACCAGUUAGUUUUCAGUCUGUGGAGCUUCCCACCCAGGAGGUAUGGGGUUGUUUAUAUCACGAAAUCACCCCUCCUACUUCUUGAUGUGGUCUCUUCUUUUUCUUCUGGAGUAGGGUAUCUUUUUAAGGUUUCUGGUCCAUUUGGGUGGGGAUUGCUCAGCUUUUAGUUGUGAAUUUUGUUUUUUUUUUUUAGGAGAGAAGUUGCACUCCAGUCCUUCUAUUCUGCCAUCUUAAUCCUCUCUCCUCCGUUUUUACCUAAUUUUUUUGUGAGUGGCAUAAAAUUGGGUCUAGUUUUAUUUUUUUGCUUGUAAAUAUACAGUUUUUCCAAUACUGCUUAUUGGAAAGACUUUAUUUUCAUCACUGAAUAUUGUAGGCUCCCUUCUUAAAUAUGGAUUUAUUUCUGGGCUCUCUAUUCCUUUGGUCUGUGAAUCUGUUUAUGUGUCUGUGCUAUACUCUUUUGAUUACUAUAGCUUUGUAGUAUAGAUUGAAAUCAGAUAGUGUGAUGCCACCAGCUUUAUUCUUCUUUCUCAAGAUUGCUUUGACUAUUCAGAGUCUUUUGUUGUUUUAUAAUAAUUUUAGAAUUUUUUAUCUAUUUCUGUGAAAAGUGCCAUUAAAAUUUUGGCAGAGACUGCACUGAAUAUCUAGAUGUCCUUGGGUAGGAUAGACAUUUUAACAGUAUUACUUCUGAUCCAUGAACACAGAAUAUUUUUCCAUUUAUUUGUGCCUUAAAUUUUUUUCAUCAAAGUCAUAGUUUUCGGUAAAUGGAUCUUUUACUCCUUUAGUUAAAUUCAUUCCUAAGUAUUUUGUUCUUUUUGAUAUAAUUGUAAAUGAAGUAUUUUAUGUCUUUUUCAGAUAUUUCAUUUUUAGUGUGUUAAAAUGCAACUGAUUUUUGCAUGUUGACUUUGUAUCCUCCAAAAUUACUGAAUUCAUUUAUUAGAUUUAUUUGUUUUUUUUUUCAUGGGGUCUUUAGGGUUUUCUAUAUAUAAGAUCAUGCCAUUUACAGAAUCAGUUUUAAUUUUUUCCUUUCCAAUUUGGUGGCCUUUUGUUUCUUUUUCUUGCCUAAUUGCUCUGGCUGGGACUUCUAUUAAUAUAUUGAAGAGGGAUUGUGAAAGUGAAAAUCUGUCUUAUUCUUGAUUUUCGAGGAGAAACUUUCAGCUUUUCACUAUUAAGUAUGAUAUUAGUUGUGGGUUUGUCAUAUAUGGCUUUUAUUAUUCUGAUAUUCCUUCUAUGUCCAUUUCAUUGAGAGCUUCUAUCAUGCAAGAAUGUUGAAUUUUGUCAAAUCUCUUUCAUGCGUCUAUUGAGAGGAUCAUAUAUGUAUAUAUUUUUUUUAGUUAAAGUAGAGUUGAUUUAUAAUAUUGUAUUACUUUUAGGGGUACAGCAAAAUGAUUCAUAUAUAUAUGUAUACACACAUAUAUACAUGUAAUUCUGGCUUAUAUAUGAUUUAAUUUGAACUUUAGGCUAAACUAAAGUUACAUUUAUGGCCUAUUAUACAUAGUACAUUUUCUUUAGUAAUUAAAAAAUACAUAAAAAAUCAAAGACUAGUACAAAAAUAUAUAUUGAGUAUUAUCCUCAUUGUAAGAUGUGUAUUAAUUUUCAAAUGUUUGUCCAGGUACUAUGACAAAGCAAUCAGAGAGAAGAAGUGUUUUCAUAACAUAAAAUAUUGAUACUAAGCUUAGGAAGGACUACAUCCCAUUUCAACAGGAAGUGGCCAGAGUGGUUAUUGCCCUGUGCUCUCCAAUAGUUGGGGAAAAUUGAAGCAGAAAUGGAAAUUAAAAACCAAGUUCCUCUGCCAAGAUUAUGAUUAACCCUUCUAUCCAAAAACUUUAUUCCUGUUCUUGUUCUGUACCUGUCCCACCUCGGGAUUGAGGAGCAUCGAAGAAAAGGGGGGAUUGAAACAGAGCAGGACCCUGUGGCCCUCCCUGCCACCUUAUGUCCUCUGCUUGCAUUUUGUUUGUAGAAAAACUUUAGUCAAAUGUUAAAUUUAUUCAGAGAAAUGACACAAUGCAGAAGCAAGGGAAAAGCAGUCCGAAUAGGACAAAAUAGUAACAGUUCAGUCAUUAAGCGGAAUCAAGGACCUUUAGUUCCUCCUCAAGGGCUAUAGGUCAUAUUUUGAGCCAUGUCUUGUCAGCUGUCUUGUAGAGACUGAAACCCCCACCAAGUGGAAGAAAUUAACAGCAUGAUGACCAGACUAUAGCCAGGACAUGAGCUGCCACAAUUUCAAGAACUGACCUCAAAGAAAUGGGAACAAACCAACCCUGAAACUGAAGAUUAACUGUACUUAAAACAAUCAAGGUGAUGCUGGUUAGACACUGCAUGACCAAUUUCAAGGUGACUGUCAGAGCACUGUUCUGCAUGUAGCUCCUUCCCUGCACCUGCAAAAACUCUUGUCCACUGGUUUUUUGGGGAUGGGGAGUUGGCCUUUAGACAGGAGUCUGCCCUCUCCCUGCUUGUUGUCAGUCUCCAAAAUAAAGCAACCUUUCCUUUCCAUCAAGCUUGCCUCAAGUAUUCGCUUUAGAGCCACUUUGGGUACCAAACAUAUUGAGAAUAGUGCCAGCAAAAAGGAAAGUGCAUGGGUCUUAGCAGUCAGUGUUGAACCUUUCACAUUGUACCAAGUAUAGCUUGGCUCUGCUGAUUUUUAUGUAGGACAGUAAAUUCCUUACCAUUUAACCCAAGUCUAGUAGUAUGUCCUGCAACUCAUACCCAGUGGCAUCCUAAAUGGUACCACCUGCUUUUAGGAUGAUUGCAGGCUCGCCCCAAGAUUACUAAAGAGUAUUUAUUUCCCAAUUGGCUUCAAAUAUUUUGUGUUUUCCCCCAGGAAACAGAACCUCAGAGUGUCUAGGAGGAAAAAGAUGUGAAAAAGACACUGAACAUUUACUACAAUAUUUAAUUGUUCACAACAAAACUUCUCAUAAGUUCCUUGCUUAGGAAGAAUUAGAAAUUUUAACAGAAUACAGAGCAAACACUUCUGGUUUGUUGUAGACAGCUAUGGUGAAUUAACUCUAUCAUCCUAUAUAUAAAGUCCUCUCUAUUCUUGCGUUUUAAUAAGAAUCAAUAAAAAUUUUUCUUGUCUUCAUGAACAUAUGAGUUAAAAAUGCCUCAAGCCAAAAGUAAACUUAGAGAAAUGGAAUAUGGACGUAGCUGUUGUAUGGUGGUUAAAACCAAGGUUCCUGGAGGCACAUCAUCUCUUUUUAUAAUCCUGGUUUAGCCUCUUCUAUGUAUAUAGUAAUGGGGAAGUAACAACUCAAACUGUUUUCUCAUUUUUAAAUGGAAUGAUAACAGUAGUACCUGGUGUAAGUGUGGUUAUUUAUAUAUAAAAUAUCCCUUAGAUAAUCAGUUAUAUUUUCAGCUACUAUAAUUUCAUCUAUUUUUUUGUCUAUUCAUCAAACCAAGAUUAGAUCCUUCAAGAAAUGUUUGUAAAAUUCAUACAUUCCAGAAAUACAAUUUUCUCUAUUUGUCUAAGCCUUUAUAUCUUGUACACACCAACUUGAUCUUUUACUUCACAGCUAAUUUUUUUUUUUUUUUUUUUUAGGCAAGGAAAUUGAUAUCAACACCAGAAGCUCAAUAAUUUGGAUAGGACAAACCAAGUUCUUUGAUGAGCCAAUUUCUCCUUGGCCUGGACCAUUCUUCAUUUGAGAUUUCAAAGUGAGAAGGAAAAAAAAUAGUGAUAAGAAAUGAUGGAGGAAAGAAAAGCCAGGUAGGGAUUUUGUUGAACUAACUUCAAUUAGAAUUAAGGUAGUCAUUAGGGAUUCCCCAUCAAAUUGAUGAGACUCUGGAGUUAAAUAUUGGUCAAUAUUUUUUUCUCUGCUCUCUAGAAUUAGGUACAAAUAUAACCCUAUAUGAUUGUGCUUUACUUUGCUUAAAAAGAAGUCAUCCAAAGAUAACACUCUUUGUUUUGAAACUUUCAAUUUCUCUUUUUACCCAGGUAUUUUGUCAUAUUUAUGGACUUUUAGUGUUCCUCUGAUUCACUAAUGGUGAGUUUAGGGUAUAAUUCAACGAUAUGGGAUUCAACCCUGGGACAGGAUGCAGAAUAAAACCUGGCCCUAAUACAGCACAUGUAUUUAUGGUGAGUGUUAUAGCUGUGGGCUAUGGAGAGUUCACCAAAAAAAAAAAUAUUUAAUGAAACCUUGGUGGCUAAACUGGGACAGAAGUCAGACUUCUUUCUAAAUAAUUCUUCCACUACUUUUGAAAAGAAACAUAUGCUACUUUGGAGAAAGAAACAAGAUUCAUGCUAAGGGGAUUGUUAUGAAACUUUGUAAUAGAGGGCGUUUUGAAACUUCUGAAAAUCUUGGUCAAAAAUAUAUGCCUUUAAGUCGAGGUACAAACAUCUCUGCCCUUGGCCUUGAUUUAGUAGGUAUUAUAACAUCAAAAAUAUCAUAAGUUUCUGUCAUCCAAGUAUUUGUGUUCUCAGCCUUCUUGCUACUCAAAAUGUGGUCUUAAGAACCUGCAUUGUCAUCACCCAGGAGUUGGUUAGAAAUGCUGGUAUCACUCCAGACAUACUAUAUCAGAAACUGAAUUUUUAUACACUCUCCAAGUCACUUGAAUAUACCUUUGGCAACACUGGCCUAUAUUAACAUAGCCCUCCAAGGGGUCAGUUACUCAGUAGGGAGUCAGCCUUGGUACCCAUGCAUAGACAGAUUAGACAGAGGUUUCAUAAGCAAAGGAGAAGUGAUGGAUAAGCUAGGUGAUUCUGAAAAGGUUUUCCUGCCCAUCCCCUUGAUGAUGUACAUGUUGGAAGUGAGGCACAGCCUUGAGGAGGAACAGAAAUUCACGUUUCAAUGAUACAUUUAGGAGUUUCCAUCAUCGCUCAGUGGAAAUGAAUCUAACUAGUAUCCAUGAGGAUGCAGGUUCGAUCCCUGGCCUCACUCAGUGAGUUAAGGAUCCAGCACUGCUAUGAGCUGUUGUGUAGGUCGUAGGUGUGGCUUGGAUCUGGUGUUGCUGUGGCUGCGGGGUAGGUCUGCAGCUACUGCUCCAAUUUUACCCCUAGUCUGGGAACCCCCACAUGCCACAGAUGCAGCCCUAAAAAGACCAAAAAAAAAAAAAA
Molecule: long non-coding RNA, 5409 nt
Filed under: Sus scrofa (pig)
Lineage: Eukaryota; Metazoa; Chordata; Mammalia; Artiodactyla; Suidae
Description: lncRNA (ENSSSCG00035044569.1)
Source: RNAcentral